Molecule: ribosomal RNA, 451 nt
Filed under: uncultured bacterium
Lineage: Bacteria
Description: partial 16S ribosomal RNA
Rfam family: Bacterial small subunit ribosomal RNA
Source: RNAcentral
UGGGGAAUUUUGGACAAUGGGCGAAAGCCUGAUCCAGCAAUGCCGCGUGUGUGAAGAAGGCCUUCGGGUUGUAAAGCACUUUUGUCCGGAAAGAAAUGGCUCUGGUUAAUACCUGGGGUCGAUGAGGUACCGGAAGAAUAAGGACCGGCUAACUACGUGCCAGCAGCCGCGGUAAUACGUAGGGUCCAAGCGUUAAUCGGAAUUACUGGGCGUAAAGCGUGCGCAGGCGGUUGUGCAAGACCGAUGUGAAAUCCCCGAGCUUAACUUGGGAAUUGCAUUGGUGACUGCACGGCUAGAGUGUGUCAGAGGGGGGUAGAAUUCCACGUGUAGCAGUGAAAUGCGUAGAGAUGUGGAGGAAUACCGAUGGCGAAGGCAGCCCCCUGGGAUAACACUGACGCUCAUGCACGAAAGCGUGGGGAGCAAACAGGAUUAGAUACCCUGGUAGUCCACG